GGCUCAGGACGAACGCUGGCGGCGUGCUUAACACAUGCAAGUCGAACGAAGCGGCAGUGAAGGAGGCUUCGGCCAAUGGAUCUGUCGACUUAGUGGCGGACGGGUGAGUAACGCGUGAGCAACCUGCCUUUCAGAGGGGGAUAACGUUUGGAAACGAACGCUAAUACCGCAUAAAGUAUUUUCGCUGCAUGACGGAGAUACCAAAGGAGCAAUCCGCUGAAAGAUGGGCUCGCGUCCGAUUAGAUAGUUGGUGGGGUAACGGCCUACCAAGUCGACGAUCGGUAGCCGGACUGAGAGGUUGAACGGCCACAUUGGGACUGAGACACGGCCCAGACUCCUACGGGAGGCAGCAGUGGGGAAUAUUGCACAAUGGGCGCAAGCCUGAUGCAGCAACGCCGCGUGAGGGAAGACGGUUUUCGGAUUGUAAACCUUUGUCCUUGGUGAAGAUCAUGACGGUAGCCGAGGAGGAAGCCACGGCUAACUACGUGCCAGCAGCCGC
Molecule: ribosomal RNA, 499 nt
Filed under: uncultured bacterium
Lineage: Bacteria
Description: bacterial SSU rRNA
Rfam family: Bacterial small subunit ribosomal RNA
Source: RNAcentral